UGGGGAAUUUUGGACGAAUUGGGCGAAAGCCUGAUCCAGCAAUGCCGCGUGUGUGAAGAAGGCCUUCGGGUUGUAAAGCACUUUUGUCCGGAAAGAAAUCCUUGGCUCUAAUACAGUCGGGGGAGUGACGGUACCGGAAGAAUAAGCACCGGCUAACUACGUGCCAGCAGCCGCGGUAAUACGUAGGGUGCAAGCGUUAAUCGGAAUUACUGGGCGUAAAGCGUGCGCAGGCGGUUUGCUAAGACCGAUGUGAAAUCCCCGGGCGUCAACCUGGGAACUGGCAUUGGUGACUGGCAGGCUAGAGUAUGGCAGAGGGGGGUGAGAAUUCCACGUGUAGCAGUGAAAUGCGUAGAGAUGUGGAGGAAUACCGAUGGCGAAGGCAG
This 383-nucleotide ribosomal RNA is filed under the name uncultured bacterium. RNAcentral describes it as "partial 16S ribosomal RNA". It matches the Rfam family "Bacterial small subunit ribosomal RNA", at positions 355 to 724 of the family's 1533-position model. The record is from RNAcentral.